This 429-nucleotide ribosomal RNA is filed under the name uncultured bacterium. RNAcentral's name for it is "bacterial SSU rRNA". It matches the Rfam family "Bacterial small subunit ribosomal RNA", at positions 355 to 775 of the family's 1533-position model. The record is from RNAcentral.
UCGAGAAUCAUUCGCAAUGGGCGAAAGCCUGACGGUGCGACGUCGCGUGGAGGAUGAAGGUCUUCGGAUUGUAAACUCCUGUCAUGUGGGAUAAAUGGCCGGGGCACGAAUAGUGCCUCGGAAUGAUAGUACCACAGGAGGAAGGGACGGCUAACUCUGUGCCAGCAGCCGCGGUAAUACAGAGGUCUCGAGCGUUGUUCGGAUUUACUGGGCGUAAAGGGAGCGUAGGCGGUUCGGUAUGUCGAAUGUGAAAGCCCACAACUCAACUGUGGAAAUGCAUUCGAAACUGCCGGGCUAGAGUACUGGAGAGGAGAGCGGAAUUCUUGGUGUAGCGGUGAAAUGCGUAGAUAUCAAGAGGAACACCGGUGGCGAAAGCGGCUCUCUGGACAGAUACUGUCGCUGAGGCUCUAAAGUUAGGGGAGCAAACAG